UGGGGAAUAUUGGGCAAUGGGGGGAACCCUGACCCAGCAACGCCGCGUGAAGGAAGAAGGUUUCCGGAUUGUAAACUUCUUUGAUGAGGGACGAUAAUGACGGUACCUCAAAAACAAGCCACGGCUAACUACGUGGCAGCAGCCGCGGUAAUACGUAGGGGGCGAGCGUUGUCCGGAUUUACUGGGCGUAAAGGGUGAGUAGGCGGUCAUAUAAGUCAGGUGUAAAAGGCUAAGGCUUAACCAUAGUUAGCACUUGAAACUGUAUGACUUGAGUGCAGGAGAGGUAAGCGGAAUUCCUAGUGUAGCGGUGAAAUGCGUAGAUAUUAGGAGGAACACCGGUGGCGAAGGCGGCGUACUGGACUGUAACUGACGCUGAGUCACGAAAGCGUGGGUAGCAAACAGG
Molecule: ribosomal RNA, 403 nt
Filed under: uncultured prokaryote
Description: bacterial SSU rRNA
Rfam family: Bacterial small subunit ribosomal RNA
Source: RNAcentral